GUUUUCGACCCGUCUCUCCACACUCCUCCAAACCAUCUCGGAAGACGGCGAGAGCUCAGUUCGGCUCUCCAGGGGCGCCGCUGCAGCGGCGGGUUUCCACAAUGGCGGAGGACUCCGGCGCCAUCCUCCGCCACAUCUCCUCCCUCAAGGACAUGCUCGACAAGGUCAAUGAGGAGAUUGAACAAAAUAUACAAAGGACCAGGGAAAUAGAAUCAGAAAUAAUGAAACAUUCUGAAACAGAAAAAGACUAUCUUGACAAGGAGUCUGUGUUACUGAAAGAAGUAUCAGUUGCUGAGUUUGAACUCAAUGGCCUUAUCCAAGUUGCUGCUGCCGAAACAGAUUUACUGAAAGUGACAGAGGGAAAUUUGGAGUUCCAGAAAGUUGCUCUCAAUGGGAUUCAAAAAAGAUUGUCUGAUAAGAUGGAAAGGUUCAUCAACGAAUCUAGGGGGUUUCAAGCUAAUAUGGUCAAAGGUUCAAAUGAAGAUUUAGUUAUCUUACUGAAGGAAAAAGGUUUGCUGGAUGAUGAGAAUGAGAACCUGAAAAUAAAGAUCAACACUAUACAUAGUUCAUCGAAGGAAUACAUUGCAGAGAUUCUUGAUGAAGUAAAUACAGAAAAUUCAGACAGGAGAUUACAGCCUAGAGGUUAGUUGUACAGCUGCGAGCCUGCGGAAGCCAGUAAGAGUGAGGCUGCAGUAGAAGCAGAGUCAGCAUUGGGACACGGAUGAGAGUGCUUUGGUCAAUGUAGCUACUUGUUAGAUGGAAAGAAGAACAAGGAAUCAUGGCACGCCCACAGAGACAGGAAGAGACUGGUAUGCAUUGGCGAUGUCAUUAACGUGACGACAUCAUAUCUGUAGUAGCAAUCUUUGUUCUGGAGUCUGAGCUACGGUACAGGAUUUCUGAAUAUAAAGAUAUUCUGAAGGAUAUAAACAACCUGAAGGUUCUGUUUAGUUCAAGCAAUUCAUAGGACUGAUCCGUGUCAGGGCAGGUAUAUUUGCUCUGGCCUGACAAUCAAAUUUGUUGUUUGAUUGUGAUUUUUCUUGUUGAUGAGGUAGCCCACCACGUCAUAAAAAAAAAGACAUACAAGGCUGCUACUGACAUCUGGAUGAAGGGGAAAAAUGACAGAUUCUCCGGUAUCUUAAUACCAAUAGUUUGUACUCCCUCUGUUCGUAGCAAAAUCUAUGUAUCUAAAUUUUCAAAAACGGUCGUAUGAGCACAAUUUAGAAUAGAGGGAGUACAAUCUUCUUUUCUGAGAAGAGAAAGAAACAUAGAACCAAAAUAUUAUGAGCUUGCUACGUAUGAGACUGCCAAUAAACAUCAAAUUAUGAGCUUGGCUACGUAUGAGCCUGCCAAGAAACA
Panicum hallii is the source of this 1356-nucleotide RNA transcript. RefSeq lists it as uncharacterized. The record is from RefSeq and is a predicted model, not a curated record. The transcript is spliced from 6 exons. Lineage: Eukaryota; Viridiplantae; Streptophyta; Magnoliopsida; Poales; Poaceae.